CCUUUUCCCUCCCUUCAACCCAAUAUCAGACAUCUUAUCCAAUUUAAUCAUGAGCAAUUUAAUCCAAACCAUUCCAAUACAUCCAACAGCCCAUCCCAGCCCACCUUACUUCGUGACCCGAUCCAGUCCAAAUAUUUUCCCCUAAAAGAGAACCUGAAUACGUCUCCAGAACAUCCCAAACAUCUCCUUCAAGCGGUGAUACACAGCGUCUUCAUAGCUUCUCCAAACGACAUCAGCCAUAGGAGCAAAUGACAACCCUCCAACGUUCCCAAAUUGACGGAAUUCACAUAGAAAGCAAAAGCAGAGAGGAGCAGUGAGCGUAAACUGCAAACUUUCUCUUAUUUCCUCAACGUUUCCCUCACUCGUACGAUUUUUCAGCAGCAAUGCGAGACACUUUCAUCUUUGCAAAAGCGAGAUAACUCCACAUCGCCUGCCCAGUACAAAGAAUAAAUCUUGUCCCUCCACCUCGCUGGGAAUUCGGUCAAAAUUUUAGAAUUGAAGGAAUAUUCGAUCUUUUGAUAGGAUUUGAAGCUUUGAAAAUUCAAAUUUUUGUGGGCCUGAAAAGGGGGUGGGGGCCCUUUUCUCACUUCGUUUUGAACCCUUACCCUCCCAUAUAUAAUUCUCUUCUCUUUUUUUUUUGUUCUGGGAGUUUUUUUUUGGGGGGUGAAGUUGAAGAUAUUAGUUUUUGAGAAAGAAACAGAGAGUUUGUUUAGUAAAGGAAAUUUUUUUUUGAGAGAAAAUUUUCUCGAGAAAGAAGACCAGCCGAAAUCCCAUACAAGAAGAGGAGGAACUUUCCGAAAGCUACUUAAUAUAUUAAGAACAAGUUUACUUGAUUGAAAUCCAUAGAAAUACUCUUGAAAUGGCUCACUCGAUUUCAGAAUUGGAGUAGAUACUUUGCUCGAACUUGGGUCUUCUUUUCACCAUUGGUUGUUCCGUUUGUGUGGAACUCGCUUCUUUCUUUGGCGCUCAUCGUUGUCUCUUUUUGUUGCAUCAAAAGGAAAGGAAAAAUCACUGCAAUGGACAAAGGUAAGAACAUCCAGAUGGAACUCACUGGAGAAGAGCUACAAAGAAAGAUUGAACGGAUCACUUCAAAAAUUAAGAAGCAAAGGAGGAAGGGCUCAGAAUCUACAUGGCCACCGCAAUUUACAAAGCUGCAACUGUGACUCUGGAUGAGGAUCUGACAUCAGAGAUGAAGAGAAAGAAAGAUGUUGAGAUGGACACAAAAGACUUGCGAGAGAAGUUGGACAAGUUUCGGGUGAAAGUGCAGGUAAUAGAAGUGAGAGAGGCGAGGAUAGAAUCGAAGACCGCCUCUCUGUUAGCUAACAGCAUGUUACUUCAUGAAGAGCUGACAAUGGAAAUGGAAUAACUCAUCUCUAUGAGAGAAUGGAUGGUUGUACUGAGGAAGAAGAACAAAGCCUUCCAUAGCAACAUGAUUGAUGAACUUCAGAAAAUGCGCGAAAAUUACCCCGUUUAUGAUUAAGGGGCUAAUAGUGGUCCCGAUAAUGCUCACCCUGAAGUGACUGGGGAUGACGACAACAAGGAAAUCGUCUACAGGCCUCCAUUCCUAGGACGUACGGAAGGAUGAGACUAAUGCUGCAACAAGAAUGGAAAUGAUGAAUGUGACGUCAUCAUUUUAUUGUUUAAAAGCUCUACUGUUGCCUUUCAUUUUCCUUGUAAUCGUAAUGAAUGAAUGAAUGAAAAUAUUUUAUCUUGUACUCGAA
Solanum lycopersicum (tomato) is the source of this 1721-nucleotide long non-coding RNA. RefSeq lists it as uncharacterized. Lineage: Eukaryota; Viridiplantae; Streptophyta; Magnoliopsida; Solanales; Solanaceae. The record is from RefSeq and is a predicted model, not a curated record.